Molecule: long non-coding RNA, 1462 nt
Filed under: Sus scrofa (pig)
Lineage: Eukaryota; Metazoa; Chordata; Mammalia; Artiodactyla; Suidae
Description: lncRNA (ENSSSCG00060000054.1)
Source: RNAcentral
CCGAUUCAGCCCUGAGGCAGAAAAACUGGACAAAGCAGUUUUUUUCCCCCUUCCCCUUUAUAGAGUGUGUGAUUUGUGCAACAGCUUUGGCUUGGCAAAUAGGGAAGUGUCAGCGCUAAAUCAGCUUUACUCUAAGGGCACGGUACGCCUGUGUUUCUCAACCGAGUGAUACCCAAAUCCAGGACCAUUUUACUUCAAGUGGAAUACACACACAGAGCAAACAUUCUCAAGUCUUACAAAGUGGCCAGACCUCAUCCAAUUGGCUGAAGAUCCACCUAAGAGGACUGAAUGCGCGAUCCUGCUGCAAGAAGCAUGGUGGACGCCUACCCAGUGGGUUAGAAGAGGUUGAGCAACACAAGUCUUCCAUACCAGGUGACUUAAAGACAACAGUGAGGAUAUCCAUAUUCUGGAGGUUGGAUCUCUGGGAAAGCUGGUCACUGGCUUCUGCCUGGCAUGAAGGGUACAGAAGGUAGGAUUUCCUUCUUUAAGGUGUUUGGUAUAUGAAACUGCGUGUUUCUGGCCUGUGCUACCUUGUCCCAGUUUAAAGCCCACUGUACUAGCUUGACAUCUGGCUGAGGCAUGAUCCCUUUCUUUUCAUUUCAUUCAGCCUUGAUCUCCCAAUUGGCCUUUGACUGCUGACUUUCGUACUCUUUUUGGUUCCAGACUGUCUGCUUGGCCUGACCUUGUGCUUAAUGCUUGACCUCUCCAUGACUCCUAGGAACCAUACCCUGAACCUAGAUUGACUGCUGUCCACAGCUCAGUCAGAAAAUGGAAGCCUUUAGAAUAAAUGAAUUAUCAAAGAGAGGAGAAAUACAUAAGUACAGGUCUCUGGGUCAAACCUUGUGAAAUGCUCAAAGUAAAGGAAAGGAAGUAGAGAAUAAAAAGGGAAUAAAAGACACAGAAAAGGUGGAAGAGCAUAAAGGGGAAUAAAUAUAUUCAUGAAGAAAUUAGUCAAAUGAGUGAAAUUCUACAGAAAUAUCAUACAGAAUAAAGUGUGCAUCAAGUUCAUUGGAUUGUGCAAACAGGAAGCCAUUGAUGAUCUUUAAAUACAUCCUAGAAUUUAGUUGCUAGAUAAUUUUGGUACUGAUUUAAAUGUACUUCACCAUUUAGAAAUGAACAUAUGUUUCCAUAUGUGUAAAUACAGACUUUUCUAAGAGAUGAUUUGGCUUAAUUCUUACUGAAGGUAAGAAGAAGAAAUGUGUGCGUAUGGGUGUAGGUGACUAGUAGGGAGGAGAAGCACUUAAGAUUUUAAACUUUUUUCUUGGUUCUCUUUCCCCCCUUCUUUCUCCCUCUUACAAAUCCAAAUAUGUAGAAGUAAGAAACCAUGGUCUCAUUUGAGGGCUGUGCUUUGGGUUAGGCAAGGCAAGUAUAUGCUUGCUGUGCAGAAAAAAAAAAGACCCAUUUUUUUUUUUUUUGUUCACCCAUCUCAAACUCUGAUUUACUGCUCUUAAAACCUAGCAAC